Molecule: ribosomal RNA, 1098 nt
Filed under: uncultured organism
Description: bacterial SSU rRNA
Rfam family: Bacterial small subunit ribosomal RNA
Source: RNAcentral
GUGGCGCACGGGUGAGUACACGUGAGUGACAUACCCCGCAGUGGGGGAUAGCCCGCCGAAAGGCGGAUUAAUACCCCAUGGUAUCGCAAGAUUAAAGGUGGCUUCGGCUGCCGCUGCGGGAUUGGCUCGCGUCCUAUCAGUUAGUUGGUGAGGUAACGGCUCACCAAGGCGACGACGGGUAGCUGGUCUGAGAGGAUGAUCAGUCACACUGGAACUGAGACACGGUCCAGACACCUACGGGUGGCAGCAGUCGAGAAUAAUUCACAAUGGACGAAAGUCUGAUGGUGCAACGCCGCGUGGAGGAUGACGGUCUUCGGAUUGUAAACUCCUGUCAUCGGGGAGUAAGACCUGGCUGUGAAUAGCAGACAGGGUUGAUAGUACCCGAAGAGGAAGGGACGGCUAACUUCGUGCCAGCAGCCGCGGUAAUACGAAGGUCCCGAGCGUUGUUCGGAAUCGCUGGGCGUAAAGGGAGCGUAGGCGGCAGGGUAAGUCAGAUGUGAAAUCCCGGGGCUCAACCCCGGAACGGCAUCCGAUACUGCCCUGCUUGAGUAAUGGAGGGGUAGCUGGAAUUCUCGGUGUAGCAGUGAAAUGCGUGGAUAUCGAGAGGAACACUCGUGGCGAAAGCGAGCUACUGGACAUUGACUGACGCUGAGGCUCGAAGGCCAGGGUAGCGAAAGGGAUUAGAUACCCCUGUAGUCCUGGCAGUAAACGGUGUGCGCUUGGUGUGAGGGGUUUCGACCCCCCUUGUGCCGGAGCUAACGCGUUAAGCGCACCGCCUGGGAAGUACGGUCGCAAGACUAAAACUCAAAGAAAUUGACGGGGACCCGCACAAGCGGUGGAGUAUGUGGCUUAAUUCGAUGCAACGCGAAGAACCUUACCUGGGCUUGACAUGCAUUGCUAAUCCGCUGAAAGGCGGUGAGUCUUCGGACACCUUGCACAGGUGCUGCAUGGCCGUCGUCAGCUCGUGUCGUGAGAUGUUGGGUUAAGUCCCGCAACGAGCGCAACCCUCGUGAUUAGUUGUCACCACGUGAAGGUGGGGACUGUAAUCAGACGGCCCAGAUCAACUGGGAGGAAGGUGGGGAAGAUGUCAGGUCAGUA